Molecule: ribosomal RNA, 253 nt
Filed under: uncultured bacterium
Lineage: Bacteria
Description: partial 16S ribosomal RNA
Rfam family: Bacterial small subunit ribosomal RNA
Source: RNAcentral
UACAGAGGGUGCAAGCGUUGUCCGGAAUCACUGGGCGUAAAGGGCGCGUAGGCGGCCUGAUAAGUCGGGGGUGAAAUGCUGCGGCUUAACCGCAGCACGGCCUUCGAGACUGUCGGGCUUGAGCACGGUAGAGGCAGAUGGAAUUCCCGGUGUAGCGGUGGAAUGCGUAGAGCUCGGGAAGAACAUCGGUGGCGAAGGCGGUCUGCUGGGCCGUUGCUGACGCUGCGGCGCGACAGCGUGGUGAGCAUUCAGU